Molecule: ribosomal RNA, 265 nt
Filed under: Salmonella enterica subsp. enterica serovar Newport
Lineage: Bacteria; Pseudomonadati; Pseudomonadota; Gammaproteobacteria; Enterobacterales; Enterobacteriaceae
Description: partial 23S ribosomal RNA
Rfam family: Bacterial large subunit ribosomal RNA
Source: RNAcentral
CCCAGACAGCCAGGAUGUUGGCUUAGAAGCAGCCAUCAUUUAAAGAAAGCGUAAUAGCUCACUGGUCGAGUCGGCCUGCGCGGAAGAUGUAACGGGGCUAAACUAUGCACCGAAGCUGCGGCAGCGACGCUGUGCGUUGUUGGGUAGGGGAGCGUUCUGUAAGCCUGCGAAGGUGGCCUGUGAGGGUUGCUGGAGGUAUCAGAAGUGCGAAUGCUGACAUAAGUAACGAUAAAGCGGGUGAAAAGCCCGCUCGCCGGAAGACCAA